Long non-coding RNA from Contarinia nasturtii (swede midge), 344 nucleotides. RefSeq lists it as uncharacterized. The record is from RefSeq and is a predicted model, not a curated record. The transcript has 2 exons. Lineage: Eukaryota; Metazoa; Arthropoda; Insecta; Diptera; Cecidomyiidae.
CCACAAGCAAUAGUCUGUUUUUAACAUUCCGCCUGUUAAAAAGUCUACCAAAAUGAAAUACCUUCUUGUGAUUUUCGCUCUUAUUGCAUGUAUUUUUGGACUUUGUCGAGGAGACAUCUGUGCAAAAGAUUUGAAAAGUGGAAAUAAUCAAAACUUUCCUUCUCGUUUACAUAUGACCAUUGUAAAUACACAAGGUGGAAAAUACAAAUUCCUACAUAAUGGACUAUGUUAAUAUCUAUAUAUUAAAUAUUUUGAAUGACGCAAAUAAAAUCUACAUCUAUUGUUAAACAGUUAUGUAAAAUGUUUGUGUACUAUUAAAAAAAUACGCUCACACCUCAAGAAAA